GACGAACGCUGGCGGCGUGCUUAACACAUGCAAGUCGAACGGAAAGGCCCUGCUUUUGUGGGGUGCUCGAGUGGCGAACGGGUGAGUAACACGUGAGUAACCUGCCCUUGACUUUGGGAUAACUUCAGGAAACUGGGGCUAAUACCGGAUAGGAUCUCCUGCUGCAUGGUGGGGGUUGGAAAGUUUCGGCGGUUGGGGAUGGACUCGCGGCUUAUCAGCUUGUUUGUGGGGUAGUGGCUUACCAAGGCUUUGACGGGUAGCCGGCCUGAGAGGGUGAACGGCCACAUUAGGACUGAGAUACGGACCAGAAUCCUACGGGAGGCAGCAGUGGAGAAUAUUGCACAAUGGGCGGGAGCCUGAUGCAGCAACGCCGCGUGCGGGAUGACGGCCUUCGGGUUGUAAACCGCUUUCGCCUGUGACGAAGAGUGAGUGACGGUAAUGGGUAAAGAAGCACCGGCUAACUACGUG
RNAcentral lists this ribosomal RNA (468 nucleotides) under uncultured bacterium. Its description in RNAcentral is "partial 16S ribosomal RNA". It matches the Rfam family "Bacterial small subunit ribosomal RNA", at positions 28 to 507 of the family's 1533-position model. The record is from RNAcentral.